Molecule: transfer RNA, 71 nt
Filed under: Ipomoea nil (Japanese morning glory)
Lineage: Eukaryota; Viridiplantae; Streptophyta; Magnoliopsida; Solanales; Convolvulaceae
Rfam family: tRNA
About the family: Transfer RNA (tRNA) molecules are approximately 80 nucleotides in length. Their secondary structure includes four short double-helical elements and three loops (D, anti-codon, and T loops). Further hydrogen bonds mediate the characteristic L-shaped molecular structure. tRNAs have two regions of fundamental functional importance: the anti-codon, which is responsible for specific mRNA codon recognition, and the 3' end, to which the tRNAs corresponding amino acid is attached (by aminoacyl-tRNA synthetases). tRNAs cope with the degeneracy of the genetic code in two manners: having more than one tRNA (with a specific anti-codon) for a particular amino acid; and 'wobble' base-pairing, i.e. permitting non-standard base-pairing at the 3rd anti-codon position.
Source: Rfam by way of RNAcentral
GCACUAGUGGUCUAGUGGUAGAGUAGUACCCUGCCACGGUAUAGACUCGGGUUCGACUCCUAGCUAGUGCA